AGGACGAACGCUGGCGGCGUGCUUAACACAUGCAAGUCAAGGGGGCGGAGCAAUCCGCAACCGGCGAACGGGUGCGUAACACGUGAGCGACCUAUCGUGGUGUGGGGGAUAGCCGGCCCAACGGCCGGGUAAUACCGCAUGCGCUCUUUGGGGGGCAUCCCUUGGGGAGGAAAGUCUUCGGACGCACGGCGAGGGGCUCGCGGCCUAUCAGCUAGUUGGUGGGGUCAUGGCUCACCAAGGCAUCGACGGGU
This 251-nucleotide ribosomal RNA is filed under the name uncultured soil bacterium. Its description in RNAcentral is "partial 16S ribosomal RNA". It matches the Rfam family "Bacterial small subunit ribosomal RNA", at positions 26 to 284 of the family's 1533-position model. The record is from RNAcentral.